Molecule: ribosomal RNA, 531 nt
Filed under: uncultured bacterium
Lineage: Bacteria
Description: bacterial SSU rRNA
Rfam family: Bacterial small subunit ribosomal RNA
Source: RNAcentral
UGGGGAAUAUUGCACAAUGGGCGCAAGCCUGAUGCAGCGACGCCGCGUGGGGGAUGACGGCCUUCGGGUUGUAAACUCCUUUCGCCAGGGGCGAAGCGUUUUGUGACGGUACCUGGAGAAGAAGCACCGGCUAACUACGUGCCAGCAGCCGCGGUAAUACGUAGGGUGCAAGCGUUGUCCGGAAUUACUGGGCGUAAAGAGCUCGUAGGUGGUUUGUCACGUCGUCUGUGAAAUUCCACAGCUUAACUGUGGGCGUGCAGGCGAUACGGGCUGACUUGAGUACUGUAGGGGUAACUGGAAUUCCUGGUGUAGCGGUGAAAUGCGCAGAUAUCAGGAGGAACACCGAUGGCGAAGGCAGGUUACUGGGCAGUUACUGACGCUGAGGAGCGAAAGCAUGGGUAGCAAACAGGAUUAGAUACCCUGGUAGUCCAUGCCGUAAACGGUGGGCGCUAGGUGUAGGGGCCUUUUGGGGUUUCUGUGCCGUAGCUAACGCAUUAAGCGCCCCGCCUGGGGAGUACGGCCGCAAGGCUA